This 253-nucleotide ribosomal RNA is filed under the name uncultured bacterium. RNAcentral's name for it is "partial 16S ribosomal RNA". It matches the Rfam family "Bacterial small subunit ribosomal RNA", at positions 524 to 776 of the family's 1533-position model. The record is from RNAcentral.
UACAGAGGUCUCAAGCGUUGUUCGGAUUCAUUGGGCGUAAAGGGUGCGUAGGUGGCGUGGUAAGUCGGAUGUGAAAUCCCGGGGCUCAACCCCGGAACUGCAUUCGAUACUGCCUUGCUAGAGUACUGGAGAGGAGAUUGGAAUUUACGGUGUAGCAGUGAAAUGCGUAGAUAUCGUAAGGAAGACCGGUGGCGAAGGCGGAUCUCUGGACAGUUACUGACACUGAGGCACGAAGGCCAGGGGAGCAAACGGG